GACGAACGCUGGCGGCGUGCCUAAUACAUGCAAGUAGAACGCAGUUGCGAACGGGUGAGUAACGCGUAGGUAACUGCCUGGUAGCGGGGGAUAACUAUUGGAAACGAUAGCUAAUACCGCAUACUACCAGAUGGACCUGCGUUGUAUUAGCUAGUUGGUGAGGUAACGGCGCACCAAGGCAACGCUGCAUAGCCGACCUGAGAGGGUGGUCGGCCAAAACGGGACUGGGACACGGCCCCGACUCCUACGGGAGGCAGCAGUAGGGAAUCUUCGGGAAUGGGGGGAACCCUGAACGAGGAACGCCGGGGGAGGGAAGAAGGUUUUCGGAUCGGAAAGCUCUGGUGUUAAGGAAGCGGUACUUAACCAGAAAGGGACGGCUAACUACGUGCCAGCAGCCGCGGUAAUUC
This 407-nucleotide ribosomal RNA is filed under the name uncultured bacterium. RNAcentral describes it as "partial 16S ribosomal RNA". It matches the Rfam family "Bacterial small subunit ribosomal RNA", at positions 28 to 526 of the family's 1533-position model. The record is from RNAcentral.